This 490-nucleotide ribosomal RNA is filed under the name uncultured bacterium. Its description in RNAcentral is "partial 16S ribosomal RNA". It matches the Rfam family "Bacterial small subunit ribosomal RNA", at positions 29 to 507 of the family's 1533-position model. The record is from RNAcentral.
AAUGAACGCUGGCGGCAGGCCUAACACAUGCAAGUCGAACGGCAGCACAAGAGAGCUUGCUCUCUGGGUGGCGAGUGGCGGACGGGUGAGGAAUGCAUCGGAAUCUGCCCAUUUGUGGGGGAUAACCUUGGGAAACCGGGACUAAUACCGCAUACGACCUACGGGUGAAAGCAGGGGAUCUUCGGACCUUGCGCAGAUGGAUGAGCCGAUGCCGGAUUAGCUAGUUGGAGGGGUAAAGGCCCACCAAGGCGACGAUCCGUAGCUGGUCUGAGAGGAUGAUCAGCCACACUGGGACUGAGACACGGCCCAGACUCCUACGGGAGGCAGCAGUGGGGAAUAUUGGACAAUGGGCGCAAGCCUGAUCCAGCCAUGCCGCGUGUGUGAAGAAGGCCUUCGGGUUGUAAAGCACUUUUGUUGGGAAAGAAAAGCAGCCGGUUAAUACCCGGUUGUCAUGACGGUACCCAAAGAAUAAGCACCGGCUAACUUCGUG